This is a long non-coding RNA of Suricata suricatta (meerkat), 1144 nucleotides long. RefSeq lists it as uncharacterized. The record is from RefSeq and is a predicted model, not a curated record. The transcript is spliced from 2 exons. NCBI's taxonomy places the organism in Eukaryota, Metazoa, Chordata, Mammalia, Carnivora, Herpestidae.
CCACUGGCUGAGGAGGAAUGACGCGCCAAGUGCGCCACAGGAGAGCCCGCCCACGCCCCUGAGGGAUUGGCUCCCAGAGGACGUCCUCUCACAUCUAUUUGCUGCUGAGUCUGUCGGUGCUGGCGAGGGACGACGCCCGGCCUUCGCAGUGCACGCCGGGUGUCGUAGUCCAAUGGCGCUACUCGCGAGCAUGCGUAGCCGGCUCUCCUGGCGCUGACUUCCGGCCCGGCAGCUGAGCGAGUCCGCCUUCCUGCAAAGCCUAGUCUUUCUCAACUAUGCAUCUGCACUACUCUGAAAUUCUCAUGUGUGUCUGAUUCCACAAAGAAUUCUUUGGUUGAUCUCCACGAGAAUGGCUUCCCAGUGAUCUCAGAAGAAAGGGAAUCUGCUCUCUAGGGAAGCAGCUAAUCACUGGGCCAGUUUGCUGAAGCAAAUCGUGACUGCAACAAGGAGUCCCAAGGCAUACCCACCCCCAAGCGAGAACUCCCCAGAGAGACAGAGAUCCGCCCUUCCCAGCACCGCUCUGCUGAAGCUUCCCGCCAGCGCUUCAGGCACGUCUGCUACCAGGAGGCAGCCGGCCCCCACGAAGCCUUCAGCAAGCUCUGGGAGCGCUGCUGUCAGUGGCUAAGACCUAAGACACACUCAAAAGAGCAAAUACUGGAGCUGCUGGUUUUGGAGCAGUUUCUGACCAUCUUGCCAGAGGAGAUCCAGACCUGGGUGAGGGAGCAACAUCCAGAAAAUGGCGAGGAAGCUGUGGCUCUGGUGGAGGACGUGCAGCGUGCAUCUGGGCAACGGGAGAGAAAAGGCAACUCAGAACCCGCUGGAUUUAGUUACGAGGUGGGUGAGGAGCGCAGUAAUCCGCUACUGGACAGGUGCUGAGAAAUGCACAGUAGCCUUCCACCACGCACCGCACACUCCUUGCUAUCUUGGCUUGGUCCCAUGCCCUUCGUCUAUGGGGACAACGUCACAUUUGCUGAGAUAACGUACACACUGAUAUAGUCAGUGGAUGUUUAGGGCCCUAACACAAACAUAAAAGCUCAGGAUUGUUCUCCAGAACAGGGCCGGGAAAGGACAACUGUCCUCACUCAGGGGAUCAGGAGAACUAGAGUUGGUGAGUUAAAUAAAAUCCAGUCCCUCUUGCUGAAAA